UAUAUGCUUGUCUCAAAGAUUAAGCCAUGCAUGUCUAAGUCCACUACGAAUUAAAAGUGAAACCGCAAAAGGCUCAUUAUAUCAGUUAUGGUUCCUUAGAUCGUUAACAGUUACUUGGAUAACUGUGGUAAUUCUAGAGCUAAUACAUGCAAUUAAAACAUGAACCUUAUGGGACAUGUGCUUUUAUUAGGCUAAAACCAAGCGAUCGCAAGAUCGUUAUAUUGGUUGAACUCUAGAUAACAUGCAGAUCGUAUGGUCUUGUACCGACGACAGAUCUUUCAAAUGUCUGCCCUAUCAACUUUUGAUGGUAGUAUCUAGGACUACCAUGGUUGCAACGGGUAACGGGGAAUCAGGGUUCGAUUCCGGAGAGGGAGCCUGAGAAACGGCUACCACAUCUAAGGAAGGCAGCAGGCGCGUAAAUUACCCACUCCCAGCUCGGGGAGGUAGUGACGAAAAAUAACAAUACAGGACUCAUAUCCGAGGCCCUGUAAUUGGAAUGAGUACACUUUAAAUCCUUUAACAAGGACCAAUUGGAGGGCAAGUCUGGUGCCAGCAGCCGCGGUAAUUCCAGCUCCAAUAGCGUAUAUUAAAGUUGUUGCGGUUAAAACGUUCGUAGUUGAACUUGUGCUUCAUACGGGUAGUACAACUUACAAUUGUGGUUAGUACUAUACCUUUAUGUAUGUAAGCGUAUUACCGGUGGAGUUCUUAUAUGUGAUUAAAUACUUGUAUUUUUUCAUAUGUUCCUCCUAUUUAAAAACCUGCACUAGUGCUCUUAAACGAGUGUUAUUGUGGGCCGGUAUGCUCUCCUGGAUGCUCUCCACCGUCAAUCCGAACCCCAUCCUCAACACACCCAGGAACAUUGAUGAAGCUAUCGGGAAUCUCACCAGGCAGAUGCAAAACGCUGCGGAAUUCGCAAGCCCACCGCCACCAAAGACUGCGAGAACACCGCCACACAGCGCAUGGUGAGAAGCAGCUUCCGCAGACUAGGAGAAGUGGACACGGAAGAGCUCUCAUAUGCUAUCAGCCGCUACGAUGAGCUGGUGUUGGCGCUAAUGCUCCGGUGCGGAGAGCUGGAGACGCGGCUUGCUAUGCCGCCACCGCCGCCGCCGUCGUUGAAUCUGUUGAAAAAUACGGCCGCCAAUGCUCCCCAGAUGCAGCAGGUUGCACCCAUCGCUGCCCCGCGGACUACCAAGGUCCGCGAGACGUGGUCAGCGGUGGUGAAGUGCGACGACCCUGCGCUAUCGGGGAAAGACAUAGCGGAAAAGGUGCGAACGAUGGUUGCACUCUCUCUCGGAGUCAGA
This 1301-nucleotide ribosomal RNA is filed under the name Drosophila sechellia. RNAcentral describes it as "SSU rRNA". The stretch from base 1 to 862 matches the Rfam family "Eukaryotic small subunit ribosomal RNA". Lineage: Eukaryota; Metazoa; Arthropoda; Insecta; Diptera; Drosophilidae. The record is from RNAcentral.